This 497-nucleotide ribosomal RNA is filed under the name uncultured bacterium. RNAcentral's name for it is "partial 16S ribosomal RNA". It matches the Rfam family "Bacterial small subunit ribosomal RNA", at positions 28 to 507 of the family's 1533-position model. The record is from RNAcentral.
GAUGAACGCUGGCGGCGUGCCUAAUACAUGCAAGUCGAGCGAACGGACGAGAAGCUUGCUUCUCUGAUGUUAGCGGCGGACGGGUGAGUAACACGUGGAUAACCUACCUAUAAGACUGGGAUAACUUCGGGAAACCGGAGCUAAUACCGGAUGAUAUCUUGAACCGCAUGGUUCAAAAGUGAAAGACGGUCUUUCUGUCACUUAUAGAUGGAUCCGUGCUGCAUUAGCUAGUUGGUAAGGUAACGGCUUACCAAGGCAACGAUGCAUAGCCGACCUGAGAGAGUGAUCGGCCGCACGAGAACUGGAACACGGUCCAGACUCCUGCGGGAGGCAGCAGAAGGGAAUCUUCCGCAGUGGGCGAGAGCCUGACGGAGCAACGCCGCGUGAGUGAUGGAGGUCUUCGGAUCGUAAAACUCUGUUAUUAGGGAAGAACAUAUGUGUAAGUAACUGUGCACAUCGUGACGGUACCUGAUCAGAAAGCCACGGCUAACUACGUG